RNAcentral lists this ribosomal RNA (618 nucleotides) under Triticum aestivum (bread wheat). RNAcentral describes it as "partial small subunit ribosomal RNA". The record is from RNAcentral. Lineage: Eukaryota; Viridiplantae; Streptophyta; Magnoliopsida; Poales; Poaceae.
AUGAUGUUUGCAGCAGUCGAUAACCCAUCUAAUGCGGUUGAGUGGGCACUUGCUGAGAUGAUGAACGUGCCAGAGAUCAUGCAAAAAGCAACUGAGGAACUCGACACCGUUGUCGGUAAAGAUAGACUAGUCCAAGAGUCUGACAUUCCUCGGCUAAACUAUCUCAAAUCGUGCAUCCGAGAGGCCUUCCGCAUACACCCAUACCAUGCUCUUAAUGUACCCCAUGUCGCCAUGGCGGACACAACUAUUGCUGGCUACACCAUCCCCAAGGAUAGCCACAUACUUUUAAGCCGGCUUGGACUUGGCCGCAAUCCCAAGAUCUGGACUGAACCACUGCAGUUUCAGCCUGAGAGGCAUUUGAACACUGCGAAUGUACUUCUCACUGAUCCAGGCCUACGUUUCAUUUCAUUUAGCAGUGGGAGGAGGGGUUGUCCUGGGAUUUCACUUGGUACCUCUAUGACAAUGAUGUUGUUCGCAAGGAUGUUGCAGGGAUUCACUUGGACAAAGCUUCCCGGUGUGAAGAGUAUCAGUCUUCAAGAAGGGAAUGCGGGCCUUGCACUAGCUAAACCCCUUGUUCUGCAAGCUACACCACGUUUGGCUGCACAUCUCUAUAUAUGA